UUGACCUCAAAUCAGGUAGGACUACCCGCUGAACUUAAGCAUAUCAAUAAGCGGAGGAAAAGAAACUAACAAGGAUUCCCCUAGUAACUGCGAGUGAAGCGGGAAAAGCUCAAAUUUAAAAUCUGGUGGUCUUCGGCCAUCCGAGUUGUAAUCUAGAGAAGCGUUACCCGCGUCGGACCGUGUACAAGUCUCCUGGAAUGGAGCAUCAUAGAGGGUGAGAAUCCCGUCUUUGACACGGACUACCGAGGCUUUGUGGUACGCUCUCAAAGAGUCGAGUUGUUUGGGAAUGCAGCUCAAAAUGGGUGGUAAAUUCCAUCUAAAGCUAAAUAUUGGCGAGAGACCGAUAGCGAACAAGUACCGUGAGGGAAAGAUGAAAAGAACUUUGGAAAGAGAGUUAAACAGUACGUGAAAUUGCUGAAAGGGAAACGCUUGAAGUCAGUCGCGUUGGCCGGAAAUCAGCCUUGCUUUUGCUGGGUGUAUUUUCUGGUUGACGGGCCAGCAUCAGUUUUGACCGGUGGAAAAAGUCUAGAGGAAUGUGGCAUCUUCGGAUGUGUUAUAGCCUUUGGUCGUAUACAUCGGUUGGGACUGAGGAACUCAGCACGCCGCAAGGCCGGGUCUUUGACCACGUACGUGCUUAGGAUGCUGGCAUAAUGGCUUUAAUCGACCCGUC
RNAcentral lists this ribosomal RNA (670 nucleotides) under Psathyrella sp. MLB-2010b. RNAcentral's name for it is "eukaryotic LSU rRNA". It matches the Rfam family "Eukaryotic large subunit ribosomal RNA", at positions 1 to 653 of the family's 3401-position model. The record is from RNAcentral. Lineage: Eukaryota; Fungi; Basidiomycota; Agaricomycetes; Agaricales; Psathyrellaceae.